This is a long non-coding RNA of Tribolium castaneum (red flour beetle), 702 nucleotides long. RefSeq lists it as uncharacterized. NCBI's taxonomy places the organism in Eukaryota, Metazoa, Arthropoda, Insecta, Coleoptera, Tenebrionidae. The transcript has 2 exons. The record is from RefSeq and is a predicted model, not a curated record.
UUGAAAUCUCCACAUGUGUAAUGACGUAAACAACUGUUUAGAAAUAUCCAGGCUAUUUCCUUUGAAUCCGCUCAACUUCCUGUUGUUUGAAUUAAUUGCGAUUGCAUUGUGGUUGUCGAGAGGGUGCUAUAAAAGCAAAACGGCUUCAAUUACGCUCGUCUUUGACCACAGAACCAGUCUCGACUUAUGAAACUAAUUACAUUUGCAUAGCAAUGAGGCUAUAAAUUGUUAUAAAAAGGGCAAGUUUUUAGUGUUUUUAGAAGUUUCGUGUUGGUGAGGUGGCAUGCCGGCGGCUAUUAGCCGCCGCUGACCCGCGAUAUGCAAAUGUAUCGCGGAUUAGUCGAUCGAUUUUCCUGCUACCCCCACGACUGACCACUAGAAAAUAGAAUGCACGAUACGGAAUUACUUCACACAAAUUAAUUAUAAACACAGCGAUUUCUAGCGAGACAACAGGAUAAUCAAAUCGCCGGGAAUCGCUGAUUUACUUACCUCCAUUCUUCAAACAAGGUGUAAUAAUAGGAUUAUUGUCGUUGUGUUGAUUUGCGCAAGUUCAUUUCGGAGCUUUCCUCCAACGAGAUCAAAGGGACCAAACCAAUGGCGUUCAAGGGAUCGACGCCCUGUUUGCGCAGCAUCCCUUUUAUCUUGCUGUUCUCACGUUUUUUUGCUUUUAUUUUAAUAAAUAAAGCUCAUUUUCUCAAAUUA